RNAcentral lists this long non-coding RNA (813 nucleotides) under Salmo salar (Atlantic salmon). RNAcentral describes it as "lncRNA (ENSSSAG00000083496.1)". The record is from RNAcentral. Lineage: Eukaryota; Metazoa; Chordata; Actinopteri; Salmoniformes; Salmonidae.
GGACGAUAUACAGGACCAGUCAAAAUGUUGGACAACACCAACUCAAUCCAGGGUUUUUAUUUUAAUUGUAUUUUUCUACAUUGUAGAAUAAUAGUGACGACAUCAAAACUAUGAAAACAACCCCUAUUAAUAUAGAAUGUUCUCUGGGUUUAAUAGACAUAUUAAAAGAUUAGUCAUAUAACUUUUUUUAAAAUUAUUAUAAUUAUUAUUCCCUUUAAUGUGGCAUGAAACAGAACCAGUCCUGUUUUCAGCUGAUUGUCUAACAAUCCCUUCCCGAAAGGUUUGCUCCUGUCGGAUAGACGAACCAUGUUUGUCCACCUGCCCAUUUCAUGAAACGGAAAAGAGAUCUGUCACACAAAACUAAAAAACUAAAAAAGUGUGAUGUCAUUCAGUGAUUGUCAUUCGUAACCAUUCGGCUUGUAGCCUGAAUUGAUGCGUCCACUGCUGUAAACGCGCGUCGCGGUCCGUCUCCGUCCGUCUCCGUAGAAACGCAGUCUGGAGGGAAUUUACUGGCCGUUUUAAAUGUUUCAUUCGCUAAUUUUCGUGCAGAUGAGCCGCGGUAAUGUUAAUCCAGAGGUUCCUACCAGCUGUUAUCUCUCUCUCUCUCUGAAUGUCUGGCUGCUGUCACAUCACCUCGGUCAAAUAAAGCUGGACAUUUUGGAUGACUGGUCUCUGUGGUGUUACAUCUAUAAAGGUCCCCCUUCUGUUGUGUUACGUCUAUAAAGGUUCCCCUUCUGUUGUGUUACGUCUAUAAAUGUCCCCCUUCUGUUGUGUUACGUCUAUAAAGGUUCCCCUUCUGUUGUGUUAUAUAAA